This 492-nucleotide ribosomal RNA is filed under the name uncultured bacterium. RNAcentral's name for it is "partial 16S ribosomal RNA". It matches the Rfam family "Bacterial small subunit ribosomal RNA", at positions 29 to 507 of the family's 1533-position model. The record is from RNAcentral.
AGUGAACGCUGGCGGUAGACCUAACACAUGCAAGUCGAACGGCAGCACAGUAAGAGCUUGCUCUUACGGGUGGCGAGUGGCGGACGGGUGGGGAAUACAUCGGAAUCUACUUUUUCGUGGGGGAUAACGUAGGGAAACUUACGCUAAUACCGCAUACGACCUACGGGUGAAAGCAGGGGAUCUUCGGACCUUGCGCGAUUGAAUGAGCCGAUGUCGGAUUAGCUAGUUGGCGGGGUAAAGGCCCACCAAGGCGACGAUCCGUAGCUGGUCUGAGAGGAUGAUCAGCCACACUGGAACUGAGACACGGUCCAGACUCCUACGGGAGGCAGCAGUGGGGAAUAUUGGACAAAGGGCGCAAGCCUGAUCCAGCCAUACCGCGUGGGUGAAGAAGGCCUUCGGGUUGUAAAGCCCUUUUGUUGGGAAAGAAAAGCAGCAGGUUAAUACCCCGCUGUUCUGACGGUACCCAAAGAAUAAGCACCGGCUAACUUCGUG